UCGUGGACUGAUUUGUCUGGUUGAUUCCGAUAACGAGCGAGAUCUUAACCUGCUAAAUAGACCGCCGAAGUCUGCUUCGGUAGCGUCUUCUUAGAGGGACAUUGCGUUUCAACGCAAGGAAGUUUGAGGCAAUAACA
This 137-nucleotide ribosomal RNA is filed under the name uncultured eukaryote. RNAcentral describes it as "partial 18S ribosomal RNA". It matches the Rfam family "Eukaryotic small subunit ribosomal RNA", at positions 1299 to 1458 of the family's 1831-position model. The record is from RNAcentral.